GCAUUGUCAUUGCAUUCUCUAUAAUCCUAUACUGCUUGCCAUCCAUACACUAGAUGGAUUUGCUGGCUUUUACAAAGAAGUCUACCACAAGCACAUAGGCUCUGGAUCAAUAUGUAUUUGGAUCAGUCACGAUCCUUUUGACCCGUUGGUAUUGAGAAAAUGGAAUAGCCUUCUUGACAGCUGGGGGAUGACUACUAGUAUAGAAAAUCAUGUUUGGCUGCAAGUCUGAAAAAAAUCUCACCAUAAUUGAACAGACCAGAAAUUUGAUAUGAAGCUCAAAAUGUAAAAAAGUAACCAUUUUUCAAUCGAAGGGAUAACAUACCCCGAACAGUGAGUAUAC
This is a long non-coding RNA of Bufo gargarizans (Asiatic toad), 340 nucleotides long. RefSeq lists it as uncharacterized. The record is from RefSeq and is a predicted model, not a curated record. The transcript has 3 exons. Lineage: Eukaryota; Metazoa; Chordata; Amphibia; Anura; Bufonidae.